UACGUAGGCAGCGAGCGUUGUUCGGAAUUACUGGGCGUAAAGAGCUCGUAGGCGGCUUGUUGCGUCUGCUGUGAAAUCCCGGGGCUUAACCCCGGGCGUGCAGUGGAUACGGGCAGGCUGGAGGCAGGCAGGGGAGAAUGGAAUUCCCGGUGUAGCGGUGAAAUGCGCAGAUAUCGGGAGGAACACCGGUGGCGAAGGCGGGUCUCUGGGCAGUAACUGACGCUGAGGAGCGAAAGCGUGGGGAGCGAACAGG
RNAcentral lists this ribosomal RNA (253 nucleotides) under uncultured bacterium. RNAcentral describes it as "partial 16S ribosomal RNA". It matches the Rfam family "Bacterial small subunit ribosomal RNA", at positions 524 to 776 of the family's 1533-position model. The record is from RNAcentral.